AUUGAACGCUGGCGGCAUGCUUUACACAUGCAAGUCGAACGGCAGCGAGGAGAAGCUUGCUUCUCUGUCGGCGAGUGGCGAACGGGUGAGUAUAGCAUCGGAACGUGCCAAGUAGUGGGGGAUAACCAAACGAAAGUUUGGCUAAUACCGCGUAAGCUCUAAGGAGGAAAGUAGGGGACCUAAAUAAGGCCUUACGCUAUUUGAUCGGCCGAUGUCGGAUUAGCUAGUUGGUGGGGUAAUGGCUCACCAAGGCGAUGAUCCGUAGCGGGUCUGAGAGGACGAUCCGCCACACUGGGACUGAGACACGGCCCAGACUCCUACGGGAGGCAGCAGUGGGGAAUUUUGGACAAUGGGGGAAACCCUGAUCCAGCCAUGCCGCGUGUAUGAAGAAGGCCUUAGGGUUGUAAAGUACUUUUGUUAGGGAAGAAAAGCUAGUUUUUAAUAAAAAUUAGUGAUGACGGUACCUAAAGAAUAAGCACCGGCUAACUACGUG
This 493-nucleotide ribosomal RNA is filed under the name uncultured bacterium. RNAcentral describes it as "partial 16S ribosomal RNA". It matches the Rfam family "Bacterial small subunit ribosomal RNA", at positions 30 to 507 of the family's 1533-position model. The record is from RNAcentral.